AUCCAGCUGACGAGUCCCAAAUUGGACGAAGUGCGCGUCCUAGAU
This is a non-coding RNA of Schistosoma haematobium, 45 nucleotides long. The record is from Rfam. Lineage: Eukaryota; Metazoa; Platyhelminthes; Trematoda; Strigeidida; Schistosomatidae.